RNAcentral lists this ribosomal RNA (253 nucleotides) under uncultured bacterium. Its description in RNAcentral is "partial 16S ribosomal RNA". It matches the Rfam family "Bacterial small subunit ribosomal RNA", at positions 524 to 776 of the family's 1533-position model. The record is from RNAcentral.
UACGUAGGGGGCAAGCGUUGUCCGGAUUUAUUGGGCGUAAAGAGCGUGUAGGCGGUCAGGUAGGUCCGUUGUGAAAACUCGAGGCUCAACCUCGAGACGCCGGUGGAAACCAUCAGACUAGAGUCCGGAAGAGGAGAGUGGAAUUCCUGGUGUAGCGGUGAAAUGCGCAGAUAUCAGGAAGAACACCCGUGGCGAAGGCGGCUCUCUAGUACGGUACUGACGCUGAGACGCGAAAGCGUGGGGAGCGAACAGG